Non-coding RNA from Nicotiana tabacum (common tobacco), 345 nucleotides. The record is from RefSeq and is a predicted model, not a curated record. NCBI's taxonomy places the organism in Eukaryota, Viridiplantae, Streptophyta, Magnoliopsida, Solanales, Solanaceae.
CUAAUGUUUUAAAUUAUUUGCAGACAAGGUGUGCAUGGCUUCCCAAAUAUUAUCAGCAAAUAAGUCAUAAUUUCGAGAAAAAAGCUGUUGAUCGGCUUAAAAAUCUCCUUUAUAAAGCUUGACUCGCCGGCUGGAUACUAAAAGACAUAUGGGAUAGACUUAAUGUGAUAUGGGCUUCUGAAGAAUUUAAGAAGAGGAGCAAUGCUGCAAAGGCUGCCCGAGCCUCCAAUACGGGUGACUCAUUGCACACCGAGGGUUCAAUUAGUAUGGAGACCCAUCGAAGGAGAAUGGAAAAGGAAAAAGGGAGACUUGUGACUUAUGCUGAGGUCUUUGAGGACAAACAUA